AGCAGCCGCGGUAAUUCCAGCUCCAAUAGCGUAUAUUAAAGUUGUUGCAGUUAAAAGGCUCGUAGUUGAAUUUCGGGGUCAGUGGGUCGGUCGUGCCAAUGGUAUGUACUGGCCCUACUGAUUCCUCCUUCUUGAAGAACUGUAAUGCCAUUAAUUUGGUGUUGCAGGGAAACAGGACUGUUACUUUGAAAAAAUUAGAGUGUUUAAAGCAGGCAAUCGCUUGAAUACAUUAGCAUGGAAUAAUGAAAUAGGACGUUCGAUCCUAUUUUGUUGGUUUCUAGGAUUGACGUAAUGAUUAAUAGGGAUAGUUGGGGGCAUUAGUAUUCAAUUGUCAGAGGUGAAAUUCUUGGAUUUAUUGAAGACUAACUACUGCGAAAGCAUUUGCCAAGGAUGUUUUCAUUAAUCAAGAACGAAAGUUAGGGGAUCGAAGACGAUCAGAUACCGUCGUAGUCUUAACCAUAAACUAUGCCGACUAGGGAUCGGAUGAUGUUAAUUUUUUAAUGACUCA
RNAcentral lists this ribosomal RNA (508 nucleotides) under uncultured Glomus. Its description in RNAcentral is "SSU rRNA". It matches the Rfam family "Eukaryotic small subunit ribosomal RNA", at positions 569 to 1078 of the family's 1831-position model. Lineage: Eukaryota; Fungi; Glomeromycota; Glomeromycetes; Glomerales; Glomeraceae. The record is from RNAcentral.